RNAcentral lists this ribosomal RNA (702 nucleotides) under Triticum aestivum (bread wheat). RNAcentral's name for it is "partial small subunit ribosomal RNA". Lineage: Eukaryota; Viridiplantae; Streptophyta; Magnoliopsida; Poales; Poaceae. The record is from RNAcentral.
AUGAAUGAUUCAUCUUGGAAAGUAGACACCGGUCACAAGUUUGGUUAUCUUACAUAUAUUGAGAAGAAAAUGGUUGAAGUACUGCCACAUGCUGAUCUCAAAGCUGAUCCACAUAUUGGGUCAAAAGUUAAGAUUUUGAAGAAGCAAAUUUCUUAUGUUCUGGAAAUUAUGCAAAAUGGUAGUGGGUUUGGAUGGGACGAUGACAAGAAGAUGGUAAUUGGAGAUAGAGAGACCUAUAUGGGUUGGGCAAAGAAAGUUAUAGAAGUUGAACGAGCAACAGAUGCAGAACCUACUAGCCAAGGCCAAGGAGAAUCUUCUCGAGCACAUGAGAACACCAACCCAUCUGGUGGUUCUAGGCCUGGUCGUAAGAGAACAUACCCUGAUGAUGAUGCACUGGAAUCUGGCCUUAUAAAUGUGUCCAACACAAUUUCAAAGUUCUUGGAAGCAGAACAGGAGAAUGCAAAAACCAUGAACGGUUUAUAGAGGACGUUUAUGCAUGAAGCUCAAGUUAACGAGCACACAUCAGCCAACAAAACCAAGUUACUUGACACUUUGCAGAAUCUUAAAGAUCUCAGUAAAGAAGUUGUUAUGGAUGUUCGUGUCAUUGGUAGUGAUGCUGGAAAGACUGAGCUUUUCAUACAAUUGCGUGAUGAUUUCAAAGUAGUGUUUGUUCGCCAAGAGCUUGAGGUGGCCAAAAAAUAA